AGCAGCCGCGGUAAUUCCAGCUCCAAUAGCGUAUAUUAAAGUUGUUGCAGUUAAAAAGCUCGUAGUUGAAUUUCGGGGUCAGUAGAUUGGUCAUGCCUCCGGUAUGCACUGGUCUUACUGAUUCCUCCUUCCUGAUGAACCGUAAUGCCAUUAAUUUGAUGUUGCGGGGAAACUGGACUGUUACUUUGAAAAAUUAGAGUGUUUAAAGCAGGCUAACGCUUGAAUACAUUAGCAUGGAAUAAUGAAAUAGGACGUUCGAUCCUAUUUUGUUGGUUUCUAGGAUUGACGUAAUGAUUAAUAGGGAUAGUUGGGGGCAUUAGUAUUCAAUUGUCAGAGGUGAAAUUCUUGGAUUUUAUUGAAGACUAAACUACUGCGAAAGCAUUUGCCAAGGAUGUUUUCAUUAAUCAAGAACGAAAGUUAGGGGAUCGAAGACGAUCAGAUACCGUCGUAGUC
Molecule: ribosomal RNA, 453 nt
Filed under: uncultured Glomus
Lineage: Eukaryota; Fungi; Glomeromycota; Glomeromycetes; Glomerales; Glomeraceae
Description: SSU rRNA
Rfam family: Eukaryotic small subunit ribosomal RNA
Source: RNAcentral